GCAUGGUGGGGGGUGGAAAGGGUUUGACUGGUUUUGGAUGGGCUCACGGCCUAUCAGCUUGUUGGUGGGGUAAUGGCUCACCAAGGCGACGACGGGUAGCCGGCCUGAGAGGGUGACCGGCCACACUGGGACUGAGACACGGCCCAGACUCCUACGGGAGGCAGCAGUGGGGAAUAUUGCACAAUGGGCGGAAGCCUGAUGCAGCGACGCCGCGUGAGGGAUGACGGCCUUCGGGUUGUAAACCUCUUUCAGCAGGGAAGAAGCCACAAGUGACGGUACCUGCAGAAGAAGCGCCGGCUAACUACGUGCCAGCAGCCGCGGUAAUACGUAGGGCGCAAGCGUUGUCCGGAAUUAUUGGGCGUAAAGAGCUCGUAGGCGGUUUGUCGCGUCUGCUGUGAAAGCCCGGGGCUCAACCCCGGGUCUGCAGUGGGUACGGGCAGACUAGAGUGCAGUAGGGGAGACUGGAAUUCCUGGUGUAGCGGUGAAAUGCGCAGAUAUCAGGAGGAACACCGAUGGCGAAGGCAGGUCUCUGGGCUGUUACUGACGCUGAGGAGCGAAAGCAUGGGGAGCGAACAGGAUUAGAUACCCUGGUAGUCCAUGCCGUAAACGUUGGGCACUAGGUGUGGGGGACAUUCCACGUUCUCCGCGCCGUAGCUAACGCAUUAAGUGCCCCGCCUGGGG
RNAcentral lists this ribosomal RNA (681 nucleotides) under Kocuria turfanensis. RNAcentral's name for it is "bacterial SSU rRNA". It matches the Rfam family "Bacterial small subunit ribosomal RNA", at positions 188 to 878 of the family's 1533-position model. The record is from RNAcentral. Lineage: Bacteria; Bacillati; Actinomycetota; Actinomycetes; Micrococcales; Micrococcaceae.